GUUUUAGGGGUUUUGCGACCCUCAUUCCUUUUGCAUUAAAGGAUCGCUUAAUCAUCUUACCUUUCAAGCAAGAUUCACAUUGUGGAACAUCAACUUUUUUAAGUGAACUUAAGAUGUUGUCUUUAAGCAAGAAAUGUUGGUGAUGUUAGGAUGAAAAAUCCUUAUUGAUUGAUUGUACAUAUACUGAAUAAUAAGGUUGAAUUAGG
This 206-nucleotide long non-coding RNA is filed under the name Gossypium barbadense (sea-island cotton). RNAcentral's name for it is "long non-coding RNA (GBAR_LNC015681)". The record is from RNAcentral. Lineage: Eukaryota; Viridiplantae; Streptophyta; Magnoliopsida; Malvales; Malvaceae.